GGGGCCGUAGUUCAAUGGAUAGAACGCCAGCUUCCGAAGCUGGAAGUUGCAGGUUCGAGUCCUGCCGGCCUCACCA
Molecule: transfer RNA, 76 nt
Filed under: bacterium
Lineage: Bacteria
Description: tRNA-Arg
Rfam family: tRNA
About the family: Transfer RNA (tRNA) molecules are approximately 80 nucleotides in length. Their secondary structure includes four short double-helical elements and three loops (D, anti-codon, and T loops).
Source: RNAcentral